UGAGGAAUAUUGGUCAAUGGACGAGAGUCUGAACCAGCCAAGUAGCGUGAAGGAUGACUGCCCUAUGGGUUGUAAACUUCUUUUAUAUGGGAAUAAAGUGCAGUAUGUAUACUGUUUUGUAUGUACCAUACGAAUAAGGAUCGGCUAACUCCGUGCCAGCAGCCGCGGUAAUACGGAGGAUCCAAGCGUUAUCCGGAUUUAUUGGGUUUAAAGGGAGCGUAGGCGGAUUAUUAAGUCAGUUGUGAAAGUUUGCGGCUCAACCGUAAAAUUGCAGUUGAUACUGGUAGUCUUGAGUGCAGCAGAGGUAGGCGGAAUUCGUGGUGUAGCGGUGAAAUGCUUAGAUAUCACGAAGAACUCCGAUUGCGAAGGCAGCUUACUGGACUGUAACUGACGCUGAUGCUCGAAAGUGUGGGUAUCAAACAGGAUUAGAUACCCUGGUAGUCCACACAGUAAACGAUGAAUACUCGCUGUUUGCGAUAUACAGCAAGCGGCCAAGCGAAAACAUUAAGUAUUCCACCUGGGGAGUACGCCGGCAACGGUGAAACUCAAAGGAAUUGACGGGGGCCCGCACAAGCGGAGGAACAUGUGGUUUAAUUCGAUGAUACGCGAGGAACCUUACCCGGGCUUAAAUUGCAACUGACGGAUUUGGAAACAGAUCUUCCUUCGGGCAGUUGUGAAGGUGCUGCAUGGUUGUCGUCAGCUCGUGCCGUGAGGUGUCGGCUUAAGUGCCAUAACGAGCGCAACCCUUAUCUUUAGUUACUAACAGGUCAUGCUGAGGACUCUAGAGAGACUGCCGUCGUAAGAUGUGAGGAAGGUGGGGAUGACGUCAAAUCAGCACGGCCCUUACGUCCGGGGCUACACACGUGUUACAAUGGGGGGUACAGAAGGCAGCUACACAGCGAUGUGAUGCUAAUCCCAAAAGCCUCUCUCAGUUCGGAUUGGAGUCUGCAACCCGACUCCAUGAAGCUGGAUUCGCUAGUAAUCGCGCAUCAGCCACGGCGCGGUGAAUACGUUCCC
Molecule: ribosomal RNA, 1017 nt
Filed under: uncultured bacterium
Lineage: Bacteria
Description: bacterial SSU rRNA
Rfam family: Bacterial small subunit ribosomal RNA
Source: RNAcentral